CAUCCUGGGGCUGAAGUAGGUCCCAAGGGUAUGGCUGUUCGCCAUUUAAAGUGGUACGCGAGCUGGGUUUAGAACGUCGUGAGACAGUUCGGUCCCUAUCUGCCGUGGGCGCUGGAGAACUGAGGGGGGCUGCUCCUAGUACGAGAGGACCGGAGUGGACGCAUCACUGGUGUUCGGGUUGUCAUGCCAAUGGCACUGCCCGGUAGCUAAAUGCGGAAGAGAUAAGUGCUGAAAGCAUCUAAGCACGAAACUUGCCCCGAGAUGAGUUCUCCCUGACUCCUUGAGAGUCCUGAAGGAACGUUGAAGACGACGACGUUGAUAGGCCGGGUGUGUAAGCGCAGCGAUGCGUUGAGCUAACCGGUACUAAUGAACCGUGAGGCUUAACCUUACAACGCCGAAGCUGUU
RNAcentral lists this ribosomal RNA (405 nucleotides) under Escherichia coli. Its description in RNAcentral is "bacterial LSU rRNA". It matches the Rfam family "Bacterial large subunit ribosomal RNA", at positions 2543 to 2925 of the family's 2925-position model. Lineage: Bacteria; Pseudomonadati; Pseudomonadota; Gammaproteobacteria; Enterobacterales; Enterobacteriaceae. The record is from RNAcentral.